UCAGAUUGAACGCUGGCGGCAGGCUUAACACAUGCAAGUCGAGCGGUAACAGGUCCUUCGGGAUGCUGACGAGCGGCGGACGGGUGAGUAAUGCUUAGGAAUCUGCCUGGUAGUGGGGGAUAGCCCGGGGAAACCCGGAUUAAUACCGCGUACGCCCUUCGGGGGAAAGCAGGGGAUCUUCGGACCUUGCGCUAUCAGAUGAGCCUAAGCCGGAUUAGCUAGUUGGUAGGGUAAAGGCCUACCAAGGCGACGAUCCGUAGCUGGUCUGAGAGGAUGAUCAGCCACAUCGGGACUGAGACACGGCCCGAACUCCUACGGGAGGCAGCAGUGGGGAAUAUUGGACAAUGGGGGCAACCCUGAUCCAGCCAUGCCGCGUGUGUGAAGAAGGCUUUCGGGUUGUAAAGCACUUUCAGUGAGGAGGAAGGCCUUAAGGUUAAUACCCUUGAGGAUUGACGUUACUCACAGAAGAAGCACCGGCUAACUCCGUGCCAGCAGCCGCGGUAAUACGGAGGGUGCAAGCGUUAAUCGGAAUUACUGGGCGUAAAGCGCGCGUAGGUGGUUUGAUAAGCGAGAUGUGAAAGCCCCGGGCUUAACCUGGGAACGGCAUUUCGAACUGUCAGGCUAGAGUGUGGUAGAGGGUAGUGGAAUUUCCUGUGUAGCGGUG
Molecule: ribosomal RNA, 664 nt
Filed under: uncultured bacterium
Lineage: Bacteria
Description: bacterial SSU rRNA
Rfam family: Bacterial small subunit ribosomal RNA
Source: RNAcentral